UUGAAUCGUAAUAUAUACGAUGAGAUCACCCCGUGAUCUGUUAAAAUUAUGACAACCAGAAAGAAUCAAUCGGAUGAUUGAAAAGUUUAAAGCAUGAUUGCUGUGUGAAUGGUACAGAUUCAGAAAAGGAUUAUGAAUACGGAUUAAAUGAAAUUCGUAUUGAGAAGGGGGUUAAGUAUUAGGUGGGGAUUUCAAUGAGGACUCGUGUCGGCAACUGAGUUGUAUGAUUUCUUGUAUGGGCGGGGAAUUGUACUUGGUGUAAAAACUACUUAGUUGGUGGCAUUGGUAAUAAUUGAAAUGUUGUGUCACGCUAGUUGUUAUAUACAGAUAAAUAGGUCAUAGGUAGAGAAUAUAGGAUUAAGUACGAGUUCUUAGAACUCAUACUUAUGUGACAUUCUUGACUCAUAGUUAUAUGAAAUGUUUAUGAGCCCCUCAGCGAACGGACGCCAAAGGUCAGACUAGGGUAAGUUCGUAAACUCAUAUAAUUGUGGCCAGGUUAUGAACUCAUAAGUG
Molecule: long non-coding RNA, 513 nt
Filed under: Panax ginseng (ginseng)
Lineage: Eukaryota; Viridiplantae; Streptophyta; Magnoliopsida; Apiales; Araliaceae
Description: long non-coding RNA (PGIN_LNC005146)
Source: RNAcentral